ACGGAGGGUGCGAGCGUUGUCCGGAAUCAUUGGGCGUAAAGGGCGCGUAGGCGGCCAUGCGUGUCUUCCGUGAAAUCCCUCGGCUUAACUGAGGACGUGCGGAAGAAACUGCAAGGCUUGAGUCCGGGAGAGGGGGGUGGAAUUCCCAGUGUAGCGGUGAAAUGCGUAGAUAUUGGGAGGAACACCGGUGGCGAAGGCGGCCCCCUGGGCAGGAAGACACCGCAAGGUGUCGGCUGACGCUGAGGCGCGACAGCGUGGGGAGCAAACAGGA
RNAcentral lists this ribosomal RNA (271 nucleotides) under uncultured prokaryote. Its description in RNAcentral is "partial 16S ribosomal RNA". It matches the Rfam family "Bacterial small subunit ribosomal RNA", at positions 525 to 777 of the family's 1533-position model. The record is from RNAcentral.